This 870-nucleotide ribosomal RNA is filed under the name Litorimonas sp. RNAcentral describes it as "bacterial SSU rRNA". It matches the Rfam family "Bacterial small subunit ribosomal RNA", at positions 62 to 972 of the family's 1533-position model. The record is from RNAcentral. Lineage: Bacteria; Pseudomonadati; Pseudomonadota; Alphaproteobacteria; Maricaulales; Robiginitomaculaceae.
UCGAACGAGAAGCUCACUUAGGUGAGUGGACAGUGGCAGACGGGUGAGUAACGCGUGGCAACCUACCCUUCACUACGGGACAACAGUUGGAAACGACUGCUAAUACCGUAUACGUCCUCCGGGAGAAAGAUUUAUCGGUGAUGGAUGGGGCCGCGUUAGAUUAGCUUGUUGGUGAGGUAAUGGCUCACCAAGGCGACGAUCUAUAGCUGGUCUGAGAGGAUGAUCAGCCACACUGGGACUGAGACACGGCCCAGACUCCUACGGGAGGCAGCAGUGGGGAAUAUUGGACAAUGGGCGCAAGCCUGAUCCAGCAACGCCCCGUGAAUGAUGAAGGCCUUAGGGUUGUAAAAUUCUUUCGCUAGGGAAGAUAAUGACUGUACCUAGUAAAGAAGCCCCGGCUAACUCCGUGCCAGCAGCCGCGGUAAUACGGAGGGGGCUAGCGUUGUUCGGAAUUACUGGGCGUAAAGCGUGCGUAGGCGGAUUAAUAAGUUAGAUGUGAAAUCCCAGGGCUCAACCCUGGAACUGCAUUUAAAACUGUUAGUCUUGAGUUCUGGAGAGGUAAGUGGAAUUGCUAGUGUAGAGGUGAAAUUCGUAGAUAUUAGCAGGAACACCAAAGGCGAAAGCGGCUUACUGGACAGAUACUGACGCUUAGGCACGAAAGUGUGGGGAGCAAACAGGAUUAGAUACCCUGGUAGUCCACACCGUAGACUAUGAGAGCUAGUUGUCUGCAUGCAUGCAUGUAGGUGACGCAGCUUACGCAGUAAGCUCUCCGCCUGGGGAGUACGUCGCAAGAUUAAAACUCAGAGAAAUUGACGGGGGCCCGCACAAACGGUGGAGCAGGUGGUUUAUUCGAAGCACCCCCAAAACCUU